GUCUGUGUGUGGGUUUGUGCACAGGAGGGCAGUUGCCCACAGAGGCCAGAGGAACCCGGAGCCUGAAUUACAGAUGGUUGUAUGCCACACACUGCCAGCUCUGGGAACCAAACUUGGAUCCUCUGGAAGAGCAGGCAGUGCUUCUAACCCAUGAGCCCUCUCUCCAGCCCUGUGUAUACGUAUUAUAUAUACCCGAAUACCCAGGGUCGUAGAAACAUGUCUAGAGCACACAGGGCCUGGAGUGGAGGAGGCGUAAGAAGAUGGAGGGCGGGGGAGGUAUCAUGAGAACUUAGCUGUGAUGGUAGAGUGUCCCCGAUAGCGUUUAGUCAGACAUUUCUGUGGUGUUUGGUUUCUGGGAUUUUUUUUGCUUGUUUGUUUUGGUUUUGGUUUUUUCCUACCGUUGAAACAGAGCUACGGGACACCCCGGUGUGUGAUUUCUGAGAGGGCGGCACACAGUAAAGCGUUUUCUAGAGCAAGGAAGAGAGGGCCAUAAGAGACCGGAACCUCCUCCAGGUUCAAGACCGGGAACAGCCCAUCCCUUGGAAGGUGCAGUUUAACCUAGGCAACAGCAGCCGACCUAGUAACCAGUGCCGGAACUCCGUUCAAGGGAAACACCUCAUCACCGACGAGCUGGGCUAUGUCUGCGAGAGGAAGGACCUGCUGGCGAAUGGCUGUUGCGACGUCAGUGUCCCCAGCACGAAGCAGUACUGCUGUAAUGGGUGCCUGGCCAAUGGCUGCUGUGA
RNAcentral lists this long non-coding RNA (743 nucleotides) under Rattus norvegicus (Norway rat). Its description in RNAcentral is "long non-coding RNA NONRATT008029". Lineage: Eukaryota; Metazoa; Chordata; Mammalia; Rodentia; Muridae. The record is from RNAcentral.